RNAcentral lists this transfer RNA (69 nucleotides) under Manduca sexta (tobacco hornworm). RNAcentral's name for it is "tRNA-His". The record is from RNAcentral. Lineage: Eukaryota; Metazoa; Arthropoda; Insecta; Lepidoptera; Sphingidae.
AUUUAAAUAAUUUAAAAAAAAAUAUUGAUUUGUGGAAUCUAAAAUAUGAACUAAAUUUCAUUUUAAAUU